This 276-nucleotide long non-coding RNA is filed under the name Brassica napus (rape). Its description in RNAcentral is "long non-coding RNA (BNAP_LNC026441)". Lineage: Eukaryota; Viridiplantae; Streptophyta; Magnoliopsida; Brassicales; Brassicaceae. The record is from RNAcentral.
GAGGAAUCAGAGAGGCUUACCAUUGCUACGAAAUGGAGAGGAAGUGGAGAGGAAAGAAAGAGUGAGCGCUCGGGUGUAUAUAUAAGAUUACAUAUCGUCGCAAAUUUGUCGUAAGUUUACGACGAAAUAGCGAGCAGUUACAUAGACCCGUGUUUUUUUUAACGAGGAAAUUGCGAGGAAUCACAAAGGCCCGUGUUUUUGUUUACGAGGUAUUUACGACGAUUUUACCUACGUGGAAUUAACGAGGCUUGCUUUCCUAUAAAUAUACCCACAACU